ACGCUGGCGGCGUGCCUAAUACAUGCAAGUAGAACGCUGAAGGAGGAGCUUGCUCUCUGGAUGAGUUGCGAACGGGUGAGCAACGCGUAGGUAACCUGCCUGGUAGCGGGGCAUAACUAUUGGAAACGAUAGCUAAUACCGCAUAACAGUAGAUGUUGCAUGAUAUCUGCUUGAAAGGUGCAAUUGCAUCACUACCAGAUGGACCUGCGUUGUAUUAGCUAGUUGGUGAGGUAACGGCUCACCAAGGCGACGAUGCAUAGCCGACCUGAGAGGGUGAUCGGCCACACUGGGACUGAGACACGGCCCAGACUCCUACGGGAGGCAGCAGUAGGGAAUCUUCGGCAAUGGACGGAAGUCUGACCGAGCAACGCCGCGUGAGUGAAGAAGGUUUUCGGAUCGUAAAGCUCUGUUGUAAGAGAAGAACGAGUGUGAGAGUGGAAAGUUCACACUGUGACGGUAUCUUACCAGAAAGGGACGGCUAACUACGUGCCAGCAGCCGCGGUAAUACGUAGGUCCCGAGCGUUGCCCGGAUUUAUUGGGCGUAAAGCGAGCGCAGGCGGUUAGAUAAGUCUGAAGUUAAAGGCUGUGGCUUAACCAUAGUACGCUUUGGAAACUGUUUAACUUGAGUGCAAGAGGGGAGAGUGGAAUUCCAUGUGUAGCGGUGAAAUGCGUAGAUAUAUGGAGGAACACCGGUGGCGAAAGCGGCUCUCUGGCUUGUAACUGACGCUGAGGCUCGAAAGCGUGGGGAGCAAACAGGAUUAGAUACCCUGGUAGUCCACGCCGUAAACGAUGAGUGCUAGGUGUAGACCCUUUCCGGGGUUUAGUGCCGUAGCUAACGCAUUAAGCACUCCGCCUGGGGAGUACGACCGCAAGGUUGAAACUCAAAGGAAUUGACGGGGGCCCGCACAAGCGG
RNAcentral lists this ribosomal RNA (913 nucleotides) under uncultured bacterium. Its description in RNAcentral is "bacterial SSU rRNA". It matches the Rfam family "Bacterial small subunit ribosomal RNA", at positions 33 to 932 of the family's 1533-position model. The record is from RNAcentral.